Molecule: ribosomal RNA, 465 nt
Filed under: uncultured Klebsiella sp.
Lineage: Bacteria; Pseudomonadati; Pseudomonadota; Gammaproteobacteria; Enterobacterales; Enterobacteriaceae
Description: bacterial SSU rRNA
Rfam family: Bacterial small subunit ribosomal RNA
Source: RNAcentral
CCUACGGGUGGCAGCAGUGGGGAAUAUUGCACAAUGGGCGCAAGCCUGAUGCAGCCAUGCCGCGUGUGUGAAGAAGGCCUUCGGGUUGUAAAGCACUUUCAGCGGGGAGGAAGGCGGUGAGGUUAAUAACCUCAUCGAUUGACGUUACCCGCAGAAGAAGCACCGGCUAACUCCGUGCCAGCAGCCGCGGUAAUACGGAGGGUGCAAGCGUUAAUCGGAAUUACUGGGCGUAAAGCGCACGCAGGCGGUCUGUCAAGUCGGAUGUGAAAUCCCCGGGCUCAACCUGGGAACUGCAUUCGAAAUUGGAAGGCUAGGGUCUGGUAGAGGAGGGUAGAAUUCCAGGUGUAGCGGUGAGAUGCGUAGAGAUCUGGAGGAAUACCGGUGGCGAAGGCGGCCCCCUGGACAAAGACUGACGCUCAGGUGCGAAAGCGUGGGGAGCAAACAGGAUUAGAUACCCUUGUAGUC